CNCGNNAAACCUUACCUACCCUUGACAUGCCAGGAACCUCGCAGAGAUGUGAGGGUGCUCGAAAGAGAAUCUGGACACAGGUGCUGCAUGGCUGUCGUCAGCUCGUGUCGUGAGAUGUUGGGUUAAGUCCCGCAACGAGCGCAACCCUUGCCAUUAGUUGCCACAUUAAGUUGGGCACUCUAAUGGGACUGCCGGUGACAAACCGGAGGAAGGUGGGGAUGACGUCAAGUCCUCAUGGCCCUUAUGGGUAGGGCUACACACGUCAUACAAUGGCGCAUACAGAGGGUUGCCAACCCGCGAGGGGGAGCUAAUCCCAGAAAGUGCGUCGUAGUCCGGAUUGCAGUCUGCAACUCGACUGCAUGAAGUCGGAAUCGCUAGUAAUCGCGGAUCAGCAUGUCGCGGUGAAUACGUUCCCGGGCCUUGUACACACCGCCCGUCACACCAUGGGAGUGGGUUUCACCAGAAGCAGAUAGCCUAACCGCAAGGAGGGC
Molecule: ribosomal RNA, 491 nt
Filed under: uncultured bacterium
Lineage: Bacteria
Description: bacterial SSU rRNA
Rfam family: Bacterial small subunit ribosomal RNA
Source: RNAcentral